ACGGCGAGUGAGCGGCAACAGCUCAAAUUUGAAAUCUGGCGUCUUUGGCGUCCGAGUUGUAAUUUGCAGAGGGCGCUUUGGCAUUGGCAGCGGUCCAAGUUCCUUGGAACAGGACGUCACAGAGGGUGAGAAUCCCGUACGUGGUCGCUAGCCUUUACCGUGUAAAGCCCCUUCGACGAGUCGAGUUGUUUGGGAAUGCAGCUCUAAAUGGGAGGUAAAUUUCUUCUAAAGCUAAAUACUGGCCAGAGACCGAUAGCGCACAAGUAGAGUGAUCGAAAGAUGAAAAGCACUUUGGAAAGAGAGUUAAAAAGCACGUGAAAUUGUUGAAAGGGAAGCGCUUGCAGCCAGACUUGCCUGUAGUUGCUCAUCCGGGUUUUUACCCGGUGCACUCUUCUAUAGGCAGGCCAGCAUCAGUUUGGGCGGUUGGAUAAAGGUCUCUGUCAUGUACCUCCUCUCGGGGAGAACUUAUAGGGGAGACGACAUGCAACCAGCCUGGACUGAGGUCCGCGCAUCUGCUAGGAUGCUGGCGUAAUGGCUGUAAGCGGCCCGUCUUAAAACAACGGACCA
Molecule: ribosomal RNA, 567 nt
Filed under: Heterophoma verbasci-densiflori
Lineage: Eukaryota; Fungi; Ascomycota; Dothideomycetes; Pleosporales; Didymellaceae
Description: eukaryotic LSU rRNA
Rfam family: Eukaryotic large subunit ribosomal RNA
Source: RNAcentral